RNAcentral lists this ribosomal RNA (1536 nucleotides) under Lactobacillus sp. RNAcentral's name for it is "bacterial SSU rRNA". It matches the Rfam family "Bacterial small subunit ribosomal RNA". Lineage: Bacteria; Bacillati; Bacillota; Bacilli; Lactobacillales; Lactobacillaceae. The record is from RNAcentral.
AGAGUUUGAUCCUGGCUCAGGAUGAACGCCGGCGGUGUGCCUAAUACAUGCAAGUCGAACGCGUUGGCCCAAUUGAUUGACGGUGCUUGCACCUGAUUGAUUUAGGUCGCCAACGAGUGGCGGACGGGUGAGUAACACGUAGGUAACCUGCCCAGAAGCGGGGGACAACAUUUGGAAACAGAUGCUAAUACCGCAUAACAGCGUUGUUCGCAUGAACAACGCUUAAAAGAUGGCUUCUCGCUAUCACUUCUGGAUGGACCUGCGGUGCAUUAGCUUGUUGGUGGGGUAACGGCCUACCAAGGCGAUGAUGCAUAGCCGAGUUGAGAGACUGAUCGGCCACAAUGGGACUGAGACACGGCCCAUACUCCUACGGGAGGCAGCAGUAGGGAAUCUUCCACAAUGGGCGCAAGCCUGAUGGAGCAACACCGCGUGAGUGAAGAAGGGUUUCGGCUCGUAAAGCUCUGUUGUUAAAGAAGAACACGUAUGAGAGUAACUGUUCAUACGUUGACGGUAUUUAACCAGAAAGUCACGGCUAACUACGUGCCAGCAGCCGCGGUAAUACGUAGGUGGCAAGCGUUAUCCGGAUUUAUUGGGCGUAAAGAGAGUGCAGGCGGUUUUCUAAGUCUGAUGUGAAAGCCUUCGGCUUAACCGGAGAAGUGCAUCGGAAACUGGAUAACUUGAGUGCAGAAGAGGGUAGUGGAACUCCAUGUGUAGCGGUGGAAUGCGUAGAUAUAUGGAAGAACACCAGUGGCGAAGCGGCUACCUGGUCUGCAACUGACGCUGAGACUCGAAAGCAUGGGUAGCGAACAGGAUUAGAUACCCUGGUAGUCCAUGCCGUAAACGAUGAGUGCUAGGUGUUGGAGGGUUUCCGCCCUUCAGUGCCGGAGCUAACGCAUUAAGCACUCCGCCUGGGGAGUACGACCGCAAGGUUGAAACUCAAAGGAAUUGACGGGGGCCCGCACAAGCGGUGGAGCAUGUGGUUUAAUUCGAAGCUACGCGAAGAACCUUACCAGGUCUUGACAUCUUGCGCCAACCCUAGAGAUAGGGCGUUUCCUUCGGGAACGCAAUGACAGGUGGUGCAUGGUCGUCGUCAGCUCGUGUCGUGAGAUGUUGGGUUAAGUCCCGCAACGAGCGCAACCCUUGUUACUAGUUGCCAGCAUUAAGUUGGGCACUCUAGUGAGACUGCCGGUGACAAACCGGAGGAAGGUGGGGACGACGUCAGAUCAUCAUGCCCCUUAUGACCUGGGCUACACACGUGCUACAAUGGACGGUACAACGAGUCGCGAACUCGCGAGGGCAAGCAAAUCUCUUAAAACCGUUCUCAGUUCGGACUGCAGGCUGCAACUCGCCUGCACGAAGUCGGAAUCGCUAGUAAUCGCGGAUCAGCAUGCCGCGGUGAAUACGUUCCCGGGCCUUGUACACACCGCCCGUCACACCAUGAGAGUUUGUAACACCCAAAGUCGGUGGGGUAACCUUUUAGGAGCCAGCCGCCUAAGGUGGGACAGAUGAUUAGGGUGAAGUCGUAACAAGGUAACC